CCCGCACAAGCAGCGGAGCGUGUGGUUUAAUUCGAUGCAAACGCGAAGAACCUUACCAAGGCUUGACAUGCCAGAAGUAGGAACUCGAAAGAGAGACCACCUGUAUCCAGUCAGGAACUGGCACAGGUGCUGCAUGGCUGUCGUCAGCUCGUGCCGUGAGGUGUUAGGUUAAGUCCUGCAACGAGCGCAACCCUCGUCGCUAGUUAAAUUUUUCUAGCGAUACUGCCCGUAAAACGAGGAGGAAGGUGGGGAUGACGUCAAGUCAGCAUGGCCUUUAUGUCCUGGGCUACACACACGCUACAAUGGCCAACACAAUAGGUUGCUAAGCCGCGAGGUGGAGCCAAUCCAGCAAAACUUCCCUCAGUUCAGAUUGCAGGCUGCAACUCGCCUGCAUGAAGUUGGAGUUGCUAGUAAACGCAGGUCAGCCAUACUGCGUUGAAUACGUUCCCGGGGCUU
This 456-nucleotide ribosomal RNA is filed under the name uncultured Chloroflexota bacterium. Its description in RNAcentral is "bacterial SSU rRNA". It matches the Rfam family "Bacterial small subunit ribosomal RNA", at positions 920 to 1382 of the family's 1533-position model. The record is from RNAcentral. Lineage: Bacteria; Bacillati; Chloroflexota.